Molecule: transfer RNA, 85 nt
Filed under: Felis catus (domestic cat)
Lineage: Eukaryota; Metazoa; Chordata; Mammalia; Carnivora; Felidae
Rfam family: tRNA
About the family: Transfer RNA (tRNA) molecules are approximately 80 nucleotides in length. Their secondary structure includes four short double-helical elements and three loops (D, anti-codon, and T loops).
Source: Rfam by way of RNAcentral
GCCUGAGUGGCUUAGUCGGUUAGGCAUCUGACUUCGGCUCAGGUCAAGAACUCACGAUUUGUGGGUUCGAGCCCCGCAUCGGGCU